AAUAUGGCACUACUGAACUAUUGCAUUCCCGAAGCAUAACUAUUGCAUGCUAGAAGCAUGACAGUCGUCGCAUGGAUACACGUCCCAGAUAGGACAAUCCAUAGACAUGGGAAUGUUGAUGUCUCAUACAUAGAGCAUAAUAGACAUAUAGGUUCCAAUGACUCAACUCCCGGAAGUGGAGAUUAAAAUCCAAGCUCUAUAACGCUCAAGAGGAGGUUAUGAUCCACAUUCUCUAAAUUAUGACUAUCCUGGAAGAGAUAGCGUCAUGCCCUUGAAGAGGCAAUGGAUAUCCAAAGAAAUGAAAAGCUUUUAUGCAUGCGCAUACACAUGAGAAUAUGGGAUCACGGAUUGAUGAUAACCAAUGGUAAUUUUGGUUUUUACAAGUAGCUACUAAAUUCAUCAAUGAGCUGUGUUAAUAUUGAGUCACGUUCUUUUGUUCGUCGACAAAAGAAAAAUUAUUGGCCAAAAUGGAGAAAGGGAAUUCCAUUACAAUUUUGUAAGAACGUGGGCAAAUGAACCUAUAUAUAUUUAAAUACAAUACAAAUAGCCAAAAGAUGUUGAACCAAGGAGGUUAUAUAUGGGCAUUUGUAAUAUAGUGUAAUACACUUACAUGAUAUGACACAAGGUUG
RNAcentral lists this long non-coding RNA (629 nucleotides) under Malus domestica (apple). RNAcentral's name for it is "long non-coding RNA (MDOM_LNC007605)". The record is from RNAcentral. Lineage: Eukaryota; Viridiplantae; Streptophyta; Magnoliopsida; Rosales; Rosaceae.